AGAGUUUGAUCCUGGCUCAGAACGAACGCUGGCGGCGCGCCUAAUACAUGCAAGUCGAGCGAGAAGACGUAGCAAUACGUUUGUAAAGCGGCGAACGGGUGAGGAAUACAUGGGUAACCUACCCUCGAGUGGGGAAUAACUAGCCGAAAGGUUAGCUAAUACCGCAUACGACUCCUGGUCUGUGGAUCGGGAGGGAAAGCGAUACCGUGGGUAUCGCGCUCUUGGAUGGGCUCAUGUCCUAUCAGCUUGUUGGUGAGGUAACGGCUCACCAAGGCUUCGACGGGUAGCUGGUCUGAGAGGACGAUCAGCCACACUGGCACUGCGACACGGGCCAGACUCCUACGGGAGGCAGCAGUAAGGAAUAUUGCGCAAUGGGCGACAGCCUGACGCAGCGACGCCGCGUGGGGGAUGAAGGUCUUCGGAUUGUAAACCCCUUUCGGCAGGGAAGAUGGAAUGGGUAACCAUUCGGACGGUACCUGCAGAAGCAGCCACGGCUAACUUCGUGCCAGCAGCCGCGGUAAUACGAAGGUGGCAAGCGUUGUUCGGAUUUACUGGGCGUACAGGGAGCGUAGGCGGCUGGGUAAGCCCUCCGUGAAAUCUCCGGGCCUAACCCGGAAAGUGCGGAGGGGACUGCUCGGCUAGAGGAUGGGAGAGGAGCGCGGAAUUCCCGGUGUAGCGGUGAAAUGCGUAGAGAUCGGGAGGAAGGCCGGUGGCGAAGGCGGCGCUCUGGAACAUUUCUGACGCUGAGGCUCGAAAGCGUGGGGAGCAAACAGGAUUAGAUACCCUGGUAGUCCACGCCU
RNAcentral lists this ribosomal RNA (800 nucleotides) under uncultured bacterium. RNAcentral's name for it is "bacterial SSU rRNA". It matches the Rfam family "Bacterial small subunit ribosomal RNA", at positions 8 to 802 of the family's 1533-position model. The record is from RNAcentral.